CUGGUUGAUCCUGCCAGUAGUCAUAUGCUUGUCUCAAAGAUUAAGCCAUGCAAGUCUCAGUACAAGCCACAUUAAGGUGAAACCGCAAAAGGCUCAUUAAAUCAGUUAUGGUUCCUUGGAUCGUACAAUCCAUUACUUGGAUAACUGUGGUAAUUCUAGAGCUAAUACAUGCAAACAGAGUCCCGACCAGAAAUGGAAGGGGCGCUUUUAUUAGAUCAAAACCAAUCGACGUCAGUUGGCUUGCCAACUGCGCCGUACUCCUUGGUGACUCUGAAUAACUUUCGGCAGAUCGCACGGUCUCAGUACCGGCGACGCAUCCUUCAAAUGUCUGCCUUAUCAACUGUCGAUGGUAGGUUCUGCGCCUACCAUGGUUGUAACGGGUAACGGGGAAUCAGGGUUCGAUUCCGGAGAGGGAGCCUGAGAAACGGCUACCACAUCCAAGGAAGGCAGCAGGCGCGCAAAUUACCCACUCCCGGCACGGGGAGGUAGUGACGAAAAAUAACGAUACGGGACUCAUCCGAGGCCCCGUAAUCGGAAUGAGUAUACUCUAAAUCCUUGUACAAGUAUCAAUUGGAGGGCAAGUCUGGUGCCAGCAGCCGCGG
This 602-nucleotide ribosomal RNA is filed under the name Prokelisia dolus. RNAcentral's name for it is "SSU rRNA". It matches the Rfam family "Eukaryotic small subunit ribosomal RNA", at positions 4 to 579 of the family's 1831-position model. The record is from RNAcentral. Lineage: Eukaryota; Metazoa; Arthropoda; Insecta; Hemiptera; Delphacidae.